AUUGAACGCUGGCGGCAGGCCUAACACAUGCAAGUCGAGGAUGAAGGGAGCUUGCUCCUGGAUUCAGCGGCGGACGGGUGAGUAAUGCCUAGGAAUCUGCCUGGUAGUGGGGGAUAACGUCCGGAAACGGGCGCUAAUACCGCAUACGUCCUGAGGGAGAAAGUGGGGGAUCUUCGGACCUCACGCUAUCAGAUGAGCCUAGGUCGGAUUAGCUAGUUGGUGGGGUAAAGGCCUACCAAGGCGACGAUCCGUAACUGGUCUGAGAGGAUGAUCAGUCACACUGGAACUGAGACACGGUCCAGACUCCUACGGGAGGCAGCAGUGGGGAAUAUUGGACAAUGGGCGAAAGCCUGAUCCAGCCAUGCCGCGUGUGUGAAGAAGGUCUUCGGAUUGUAAAGCACUUUAAGUUGGGAGGAAGGGCAGUAAGUUAAUACCUUGCUGUUUUGACGUUACCAACAGAAUAAGCACCGGCUAACUUCGUG
Molecule: ribosomal RNA, 482 nt
Filed under: uncultured bacterium
Lineage: Bacteria
Description: partial 16S ribosomal RNA
Rfam family: Bacterial small subunit ribosomal RNA
Source: RNAcentral